Molecule: long non-coding RNA, 598 nt
Filed under: Homo sapiens (human)
Lineage: Eukaryota; Metazoa; Chordata; Mammalia; Primates; Hominidae
Description: HSALNT0260721
Source: RNAcentral
CCGCGCUCGGCUCCGCAGGCAAGCUCCUCCCAGACCUUCGGCCGCCUCCACACGCCUCCGGAUUGGCCCGCUGCGGAGCCUCCGGCCCACAACGCAAACCGCGGACACUGUGGAGUCCAGAGCUUUGGGCAGAUGGAGGGCCUUUUAUUCGCGAGGGUCGGGGGUGGGGGUCCUAGGUGGGGACAGACAAUAAAUACCGAGGAAUGUCGGGGUCUCAGUGCAUCCAAAACGUGGAUUGGGGUUGUUGGGGGUCCUGUAGCCUGUCAGCGAGUCGGAGGACGAGGUCAAUAAAUAUCCAAACCGCCGAAGCGGGCGGAGCCGGCUGGGGCUCCGAGAGCAGCGCAAGUGAGGAGGGGGGCGCGGGAUCCCCGAAAAAGCGGGUUUGGCAAAAGCAAAUUUCCCGAGUAAGCAGGCAGAGAUCGCGCCAGACGCUCCCCAGAGCAGGGCGUCAUGCACAAGAAAGCUUUGCACUUUGCGAACCAACGAUAGGUGGGGGUGCGUGGAGGAUGGAACACGGACGGCCCGGCUUGCUGCCUUCCCAGGCCUGCAGUUUGCCCAUCCACGUCAGGGCCUCAGCCUGGCCGAAAGAAAGAAAUGG